This 1115-nucleotide long non-coding RNA is filed under the name Bos indicus x Bos taurus (hybrid cattle). Its description in RNAcentral is "lncRNA (ENSBIXG00000006304.1)". The record is from RNAcentral. Lineage: Eukaryota; Metazoa; Chordata; Mammalia; Artiodactyla; Bovidae.
GGGAUGGGGGAGCCUGGUGGGAUGCUGUCUGUGGGGUUGCACAGAGUCGGACACGACUGAAGCGACUUAGCAGCAGCAGUAGCAGGUUUUAUGUGCAGCUCAUUUGUCCUCACAACUUGGUGCAUGUAGAGGAUGGGAAGGUGCUGGCUGGCAUUCAUAAGCAUAAACAUUAAUUCAUAAACAGCGUUUUCAUGGUGAUUGUCCCAGACCCCACAGUCCACAUGUACUGAUGGGUGGAGGGACCCACAGCUGAUCAGUGGACAUCUUCAUUUCAGAACCGUCUGAAACUAUAUUUCCUGGGCCAGGAUUAGCUUUGGAUCCAGACACCUUCUGAGGUAAAGAGUUCACUAGUAAUUUUUAAACUAGCCCUCAAACUGGCAUACACUUAAAUGCACACUUAAGCUAACAGUAGACUCUAGGCUAAAAGCUUUACAUGAAUCAUUUAUUUUAGCCCUCCCAACAAAUUUAAUGGAAAGUAAUUAUUACUGACUUCAUGUCCAAAAGAAAGAAAUUAAGACCCAAAGAGGUUGUGUAACUUGCCCAAGUAUCAAGAAACUGACAGACCAGGGAAGGUGAUCUCAGGUGUCCAAAGUAUGUCCUCUUAAAUGAUACCCAGCCUUCUGUAUUUUUCCCUCUUUUUCUUCCAGGCCCCAGUACUCAGUUGCAAUUUGCUUCAGAGGUGUCUGAAUUUCAGUUGCUUUCUUGGUCUCAGUGUUUGGUAGGUCUGGGCUGGUGUGGAUGCGUCUAAUGGACUGACAUAGAUAUGAAGUUCAUGGAACUCAUGUUUGCCCUCUUGUAGGGUGGUGAUGUGAAUUGGGGAAUUUGCAUCUCCCUCAGAAAGAGCAGGAUUGGCUCAGAUGAACUGUUGACUUCGGAAGGCCUUCUAGAGCACCUUUGGAAUCAAAGCUUCCUCCAAGUUCUCAGAGUUGACGACGCAGCCAGGCAGUUUUCCCUCAGGUACCUGCCGCCAGAGCUGAGGCUGGGAUCAGCUGGAGUCUCACUCCGUCACGUGGCGGGUGCCUGGCAGGAGACUCAGAGGCUUGUUGGCUGGAACACCCGGGACACCGUGUGCAUCUCUCUCUGACUCUCUGUGGUCUCUCCAGCAGGGCGACCUC